RNAcentral lists this unclassified non-coding RNA (2116 nucleotides) under Dendronephthya gigantea. RNAcentral describes it as "adenosine 3'-phospho 5'-phosphosulfate transporter 1- like, transcript variant X1". Lineage: Eukaryota; Metazoa; Cnidaria; Anthozoa; Malacalcyonacea; Nephtheidae. The record is from RNAcentral.
GAUUGCGCAUCGCUGACAUGUUUGACCUAUGGUUUGACACGUUGGCAAAAGGAAUUAACAGCAAAUAUUUAUUGUAUUAUCUCUAAAGUGUGUAAUAUACACUUGAAAGAACGAAACAUAUGAUUUGAGAUGACAGGAAACUCGCCAGAUCAUCGCCACUUUUGUAUAAGGGGAUACAGAAUCCAAGUUGUGCUUUUUCUUUUUUAUUUCUGGAAUACCGCAGCUGUUUCCGGCGAAGAUGAAAAAUAUGUUCGUCCACCAUGGUACAUAGGGUUAUUCUGGAAUUUACUGGGCUACGCGACUGUUAUCAUUCCUGGGGCCGUUAUUAUUCAUUUGGUAAAAAAAUCUAAUUUAAAUGACAGUCCAGGUCGAGGCUUUCCGUUCAAACUUCUUCAAGCCUUUGUGUAUGGCCAGCCGGAAGAAAAACGUAGCAUUGAAGAGGGUCCAAUCAGAACAGCACCUGAAUCAAAGGAACCGCCCAAACUGGGAGUAACUACAGCAAAGUUGAUCUUCUGCGCGAUUGGUCUACAGGGGUCAUAUCUCACCUGGGGGGUUCUGCAGGAACAGAUUAUGACAGAGACUUAUGAUGAGCUUUCAGAGGAUGGCAUUCUACACAAAGUGAAAUUUGAGGACUCCCAAUACCUUGUAUUUUCUAACAGAGUCCUGGCUUUGAUUGUAGCUGGGGUGUAUAUAUCCAUUGCUGAACAGCCAUACCAUACGGCACCAUUUUUUAAAUACUCUUAUUCUUCCUUUUCAAACAUAAUGAGCAGUUGGUGCCAAUAUGAAGCAUUGAAGUUUGUUAGCUUUCCAACGCAAGUUCUUUGCAAAGCUUCAAAAAUGAUCCCAGUAAUGAUCAUGGGUAAAGUGGUAUCUGGAAAAAGUUAUCCAUAUUCUGAAUAUCUUGUUGCUAUUCUACUUUCAUUUGGCACAAGCUUGUUCCUUUUGUCGCACAAUGCUGACCAUGCUCAUCAUGAUCAACCAACAACAGUUGUAGGACUUUUCAUCCUUCUAGGGUACAUGAUUUUUGAUAGCUUUACAUCAAACUGGCAAUCUGCAUUGUUUAAAAAACACAAGAUGUCUUCAAUGCAGAUGAUGUUCGGCACCAAUGUCUUUUCAAGUGUGUUCACUUUUUGUUCUCUUCUACAAACUGGUGGUCUUGUUCGUUCCUUGUCAUUCACAUCAAGGCAUCCCCGUUUCCUGUAUCAAGUAUUUAUCCUGUCAAUGACAUCUGCAUUUGGUCAGCUGUUUAUAUUCUACACAAUCCAAACUUUUGGUCCAAUUGUGUUUGUAAUAAUCAUGACAGCUCGAAUGAUAUUCAGUAUUGUGCUUUCCUGUAUUAUUUACAAGCAUACCCUGGCAUCACAGGCUAUUUUUGGCGUUUUUGUUGUUUUUGGAGCUAUAUCAUAUCGAAUCUAUGUACGAUACAAAGCGUCAAAGGGUACAGACAAAGUGUCAAUAACACAAAACAAAUAAGGAAAAUUUGACUUCAGAACCUUUUUGAACACAUUUUAUUUAAUGUUUAGUGAGAAGUAGUUAAUAAAAUCAUGUUUUGUUUACACCUUACUGGCAAAAUAAAAAGUGAUUUGGAACAUCCAACCCUUGGUAUUUUGCCUGCAAGCAAAAUAUAAACAAAUGGUUUAUUUUGGUUGGAAAAGUUUAUUCUGUAUUUUGCUUAAUAAAACUAAAGCAGUGUUGAUUAGCAUUAGACCAUUGUAACAAACGUAUGAGUUACUAAUUUGUAAUGUUUUGAUUGUAUCAAAAAAAUAUCAUCUAAUAAUUAUACCAGUGAACUCUUGUCACAAUUUACAUAAAGUAAUGUAAUAUUCUCUUGAAUACCGCAUCCACCCGAAGGGGCGCAGACAAUAUGGCGGACGAAAAUGAUCAACUUUGCAACUAUUGGAAGCUUUCUUCCAAAAAAUUACAUCAAUUACUACAUCGUUUUGUCCAUAUAACGCUUUUCGAAGGGGAGGAAUUGUAUGGUUGGAUUUACACGAUCGAUCCUGUGUCUUAUACAAUCGCUCUUGCCAAAGACAUGGACAAACAACAAGAAAAGAACCGGAAUGGUUGAAAAGCUUCACGGUAAAGGAAAGACAGCACUACACAGACGAGGAGCUCC